RNAcentral lists this ribosomal RNA (253 nucleotides) under uncultured bacterium. Its description in RNAcentral is "partial 16S ribosomal RNA". It matches the Rfam family "Bacterial small subunit ribosomal RNA", at positions 524 to 776 of the family's 1533-position model. The record is from RNAcentral.
UACGUAGGGUGCGAGCGUUAAUCGGAAUUACUGGGCGUAAAGCGUGCGCAGGCGGUCUGUUAAGACCGAUGUGAAAUCCCCGGCGUAACCUGGGAACUGCAUUGGUGACUGGCAGGCUUUGAGUGUGGCAGAGGGAGGUAGAAUUCCACGUGUAGCAGUGAAAUGCGUAGAGAUGUGGAGGAAUACCGAUGGCGAAGGCAGCCUCCUGGGCCAACACUGACGCUCAUGCACGAAAGCGUGGGGAGCAAACAGG